RNAcentral lists this ribosomal RNA (253 nucleotides) under uncultured bacterium. Its description in RNAcentral is "partial 16S ribosomal RNA". It matches the Rfam family "Bacterial small subunit ribosomal RNA", at positions 524 to 776 of the family's 1533-position model. The record is from RNAcentral.
UACGUAGGUGGCAAGCGUUGUCCGGAUUUACUGGGCGUAAAGGGCGCGCAGGCGGUCGUUCAAGUCGCGUGUGAAAGCCCCCGGCUCAACUGGGGAGGGUCACGCGAUACUGAUCGACUCGAAGGCAGGAGAGGGAAGUGGAAUUCCCGGUGUAGUGGUGAAAUGCGUAGAUAUCGGGAGGAACACCAGUGGCGAAGGCGACUUCCUGGCCUGUUCUUGACGCUGAGGCGCGAAAGCUAGGGGAGCAAACGGG